RNAcentral lists this ribosomal RNA (582 nucleotides) under Azoarcus taiwanensis. RNAcentral describes it as "bacterial SSU rRNA". It matches the Rfam family "Bacterial small subunit ribosomal RNA", at positions 131 to 708 of the family's 1533-position model. The record is from RNAcentral. Lineage: Bacteria; Pseudomonadati; Pseudomonadota; Betaproteobacteria; Rhodocyclales; Zoogloeaceae.
CAGUGGCGGGGGAUAGCUCGGCGAAAGCCGGAUUAAUACCGCAUACGCCCUGAGGGGGAAAGUGGGGGAUCUUCGGACCUCACACCAUUGGAGCGGCCGAUGUCGGAUUAGCUAGUUGGUGGGGUAAAGGCUCACCAAGGCGACGAUCCGUAGCUGGUCUGAGAGGAUGAUCAGCCACACUGGGACUGAGACACGGCCCAGACUCCUACGGGAGGCAGCAGUGGGGAAUUUUGGACAAUGGGCGCAAGCCUGAUCCAGCCAUGCCGCGUGAGUGAAGAAGGCCUUCGGGUUGUAAAGCUCUUUCAGUCGGGAAGAAAAGGCGUCCUCUAACAUAGGGCGUCGAUGACGGUACCGACAGAAGAAGCACCGGCUAACUACGUGCCAGCAGCCGCGGUAAUACGUAGGGUGCGAGCGUUAAUCGGAAUUACUGGGCGUAAAGCGUGCGCAGGCGGUUCGCUAAGACAGGUGUGAAAUCCCCGGGCUUAACCUGGGAACUGCGCUUGUGACUGGCGGGCUAGAGUACGGCAGAGGGGGGUGGAAUUCCACGUGUAGCAGUGAAAUGCGUAGAUAUGUGGAGGAACA